This 164-nucleotide non-coding RNA is filed under the name pig gut metagenome. The record is from RNAcentral.
AUGGUGACAUUAGGGCCAAAGGAAGUGCGAAACAAAAUCGAGGGCCAACGAACAGAAAUUUACUAUAAGGCUACAUAAACGGAUAAGGUUGCCAAACAAACUAAAGUCCAAAAGAUACACGUAACUUUAUGUAGUAAAGUAAGUGGCUAAUCGAGGAAAGAUAU